Molecule: ribosomal RNA, 552 nt
Filed under: Triticum aestivum (bread wheat)
Lineage: Eukaryota; Viridiplantae; Streptophyta; Magnoliopsida; Poales; Poaceae
Description: partial small subunit ribosomal RNA
Source: RNAcentral
AUGUGGAUUGCUUUAGACCACGUCCCCCUAAUCCUCUCUUCGGAGAAUGAGCGCCCACCCCUACCGCCUAUCUUCUGCUUCGAAACCUUCUGGUUGUGUCAGCCAGGAUUUACCGCCGCGGUGGCCGCCAGGUGGCGCGAGGCGCAGGAUGCCCCCCACCAUGCCCUGUCAGCCGUUGAUUCCUGGCAUUUAUGCGCCAAGCGGUCAUGGCAAUUCACGAAAGGGUGGGGUGCAAACAUGGGCCGUGACAUCCGUGAGCAGAAGAAAGCCCUCCUUGAGGGCAUCCAGGCCCUCGAUUUGCGGGCUGACGUCGUUGGCCUCUUGGCAGACAAAUGGAUGCUUAGAUACGACUUGGAAAAACUCACGAUCAUCUACACUGACGAGGAGGCAUACUGGCGCUUGCGGGGUACGCAUAAUUGGGUCCUCAAGGGGGACACUAAUGCUUCCUACUUUCAGGCUAUUGCUAAUGGCCGUAGACGCCGUAACUCCAUCCCCCUCCCGUGGGAGGGAGCGACCCUCUUACAGCGGCCAGAGGACAUCCGGGCACAUGUA